GUUGGGCACCUUGACCUCUGAAGGUGUGUGAUUAAUGGACGCGUGGUAUUUCUCAAUGCCUCAUCCGCUCAGCACCAUCUAAUCUCCUGGAACGUGAUCAGAUGUCGGGCUCCUGCUGUUUGAAUUUAUUUCCAUUGGUUGUCUGUGUCAGCAUGGAAGCGGACGUUUGUGCAGCUUUGGUGGAGAAUAAAGGUCAUGUACAUACGUGCUUAUUUCUAAAUGAGCUGUAAUUAUAUGCACAACUCAGGACUCCAUGACUCACCUCUGCCCUCAUUAACUCCACCCCAUGAACUGCCUCUUUAUUUCAAACAUGAAGUCACUUCAACGACUUCACUUUUUAAGUCUUGGCAGAGAUUUAAUGACUUUCUUUUUUUUUCUCUCUCUCUCUCUUAAAGGAACCCAAGAGUUUGGAUGCCACACUCUCGUGAGAGCCACCAAGGACUUGGAGAGAGACACAUUGGUUCCCCAAGAGUGGGCGGGCUGCUCCACGAGAAAAGACACCAGAAACGGACUCAUCUGGGCCUAUGGAAACAAAGUACCUAUACCCUGAAGUGAACAGAAUUAAAAAUCCUCUUGAUAAACAGACCUCAGAGCGCUGGGCUGUUUGGUUUCAGAAUCUCUUGUCACCUACCCACCCUCUCCAUUUUGGGGUUUAAUGUUCAACGAGGUUAUCACAUGGAAAUCCAGCAAGCAAAUCUUAGGAGAUUUUCAGGCCAAAUUGUAAAACCCAUAAUGUUUACAUGGUCUAGAUAAAAUUUUAUUGUCUAUUUAUAUUUCAAUUUCCUAAAUGCCGAUAGCAAAACUGCCCUUAUAUAAACACAAGAAGAAAUUCCCAGCACUCAAAUACUACUUUUAUCUACCUUCCCUAUCUCGGAGCUUCUAGAAAGAUGCAUCUAGAAAGCAUCUAGAAAGAAGCAUCUAGAAAGAUGACAUCUUUUCCAACCACCAUCCUCCUGCACCUGCUCCUGUCACUGGACGUAAGUCUAAGGUUCCUCUAAAGUUAAUGAUUAAAAUAUUCGAGUGGACAUUAUUCAUCAUUUCUUGGGAGCAUUCUUGGGUCAUCCAUUAAUGUGCAGUUCUGAAACAGCAUAAGGUAGAUUCUUAAAUGGCGCAGUAUGGAUUCUGAUCUGGAGAGAAUUUCACCUAUUAUGAAUGGUUUUUAUAUGAAGAGCCACCCGUAGAUCUCCACUUUUGAACAUUUCCCCUCUUCACUGGUAGUCAAGACUGUCAAGGCCACUUCCUCUUUGAUCAGGUUGUUAUUCAACCAGAGUCUUUUUUCAAGGGAACAGCCCUUCUGGAGAAGGGUUCAGAAACCCACAGAUUCCUACCAAAAGAAAUUCCUAUAUUCUUAUCCAGCGCCUGUUUCAAAUACGUGUCUCUAAACAUAAUUCCUUUUAUCAUCCAGACUCUUCUGAUUCAUUCGAAAGAAAUUCAGAGCCAAAUCAAGGUUUUUAAGCAAAUAUUUCUAAGGAGCGCGUUGUUCAAGUUUGACCUAUUUUAGCUUCCCCAGGAGGUUAUUUCAGGUCGAUGAAUAAGGAUAUGUUCAUGAAGAGCAGAGAAUACAUUUGUUGAUUCUUAAAAGAAAACUCAGAUUUGGUGAGACUUGAAGUUUUUCUUUGGUGAUUCAUAAUCAGUUUUGCAACUUGAAAGCAGUUGAUGAAUCAUUCAGUUUACGAAUCUGCUGUCACUUCCUUAGAGAGAAGGGCUCCCUUUUCCUUAUGGUUUUCUGAAGUUUGAUUCAGUUAUCUGAAAGCUAUCAAGGUAGCCUCAUGUCUACUACCUCGCAGAGAAAGAGGAUGUUAUAUGCCAACAUCAACUUUAUUGCCAGGUAAGAGGCUGGGGACUAGCGGUGUAAAUUGUGUGAGAUGUCACUGCUCUGGGUUUCUGGGUCCCUGCAGAAUGGAAGUUGCAUCGGAAAAAAAACCAAAGAAACAAACAGACGCUAUAGAAAUACCAGUCCUGGUUUUCUAAGUUCUACACAGGAAGUCUCUUUUCAGCCAUCUUGUUUCUUCUUUCCAGUGCAGUAAACUUGAGCCACCUGGACCACUGCUGGGCCACAUGACCUUUCACUAGGAUGGAAUGGCAGCUUUAACUGUAAAAACAAGACACAAUACCUUCAGCUAGUUACGACAUAAAUGUGGCAUAUUUAUACUGAGGAGGCCUUUGGGAAGAGAAAAGUGGCUGCUUUCGGGCCUAGAGAGAUCCUAUACUGCGUUUCUGGAUUCCUCCUUUUGAUCAGGAAAUCCGAUCAAUAUCCUUAUAGGGAAAGGUUCAAGUGGGUCACAGGUGGGGCGCUGUACUUAAAGUGUCUGCUUCUUAGUCCAUAUUAGGCAACAGGAACUGCCUGAAAGUCAUUUAUUUUUCAUUCUGUGUCAUUCAACCAUAAAUGACUCAGUUCUGAUAUUAUUUACCAAGUUCCACUGGACUCCUAGGAGAGGCAACCGAGGACACAUGUAAUGCUAAUCUCAUACACUCAGCAGGGAAGGCAAAUGAGUGAGUAGUAAAAGGGAUGCUUUUUCCUUAAGAUCAUAAUUAGUUUAAUAGCUGACUCACAUCCCAGGGACUUGACCGAGUCCUCAAAAUGCUUCAUUUCUAAAAGAAUACAACUAAAUCUAAGUUAUUUUUCUGUCAAAUGGUCAAGCUUAUUAAAGCUUAAGGGGGAUCCUUAAAAGUCAUACUUGAAACCUUACGGGAUUCGAGAAUCUAAUCUAGUAACGGUCACAAAGGUGAAAAUAAUUAUGAAACAUUAAUCAAAUAUUCAGCCUGUCAGAAGACCUUAUGACAACUUUAUUUAUUUAUUCAUCUAUUUAUUUAUUUAAUUUUGGUUUUUUUUCAGUGUUCCAAGAUUCAUUGUUUAUGCACCACACCCAGUGCUCCAUGCAAUACGUGCCCUUAUGAUACUACUUUAAAAAAUAGAAUUUAUUUUUACUUUAGAACAGUUUUAGGUUCGCAGUAACACUGAGUAGAAAGUACAGAGUUCCCCUGCCCCCUGUCCCCCAACACAUGCACACAGCCUCCUCCACUAUCAAAGUCCCUCACCAGAGUGGUAACUUUGUCACAAUCAAUGAACCCACACUGACACAUCAUAAUGACCCAAAGUCCAUAGUUUAAACUAGGGUUCACUCCUGACAUUGUACAUUCUAUGGGUUUUGAUGAAUGGAUAAGGACAUGUAUCUGCCAGUGUAGUAGCUUACAGGUUGGUUUCACUGCCCUAAAAACCUCUGUGCUCUGCUUAUUCAGACAUUUUAUUUUUUAGUUUCCAAUUAAGUGAUCCAAAUAUAGGUGAAAUUUCAGAAGUUUAAAAAAGUACAAGAACUCAGUGUUUAGCUUUAAAUUAAUGGUUGCUUAAAAUCAUGAAUGUUUUUUGCUUAAAGUAUACAAUAUCAAAUACUAAAUGUCAACAUUAAGAUUUCAUUAUUUCAGAACAUGUGUCUGAAAUUUACCUCUUCAGGUGCCUUGGGAAAAAAAACUGUUGGCUAAGUAAAUUAAACAGUUUAAGGGUCUGAGAAGCUUCAGCCAAGCAACACCACCAACUAUCGCCAAUCCCCUGCCACCUGGGACUUGGCUAAAAUUAAAGACUUAAACAACAAAGGACAGAAAAAGCUCUAUAAAGUCUCCAAAUAAUUAGGAAAAUAAACAACCCCUUUCUAAAUAACCCAUGAGUCUAAGAAGAAAUUACAGUGGAAAUUAGAAAAUAUUUUGAACUGAAGGAAGGUGGAGACACAUUAUAUAAAAAUUUGUGACGGGCGCCUGGGUGGCUCAGUGGGUUAAGCCUCUGCCUUCAGCUCAGGUCAU
Mustela putorius furo (domestic ferret) is the source of this 3795-nucleotide long non-coding RNA. The record is from Ensembl. Lineage: Eukaryota; Metazoa; Chordata; Mammalia; Carnivora; Mustelidae.